Molecule: long non-coding RNA, 912 nt
Filed under: Paramuricea clavata
Lineage: Eukaryota; Metazoa; Cnidaria; Anthozoa; Malacalcyonacea; Plexauridae
Source: RNAcentral
CAGAUUUUUUCAUAUUUAAUCAACAGUAUACAUGUAUAACUGGCUAUAAAGAUUGCUUUCCAAUGUCCAUUUUUCUUUCUUACUGAUUGUGAGUUCACUAGUGGGAGAUUAAAUAUCCAGCAAAUGUCGUGUAUCUUUCUAGGCCAUAAACAGCAAAGGAAGAAUUUUUGACCAGACGAACCCACACGUUCUGACCUUUCUUCAAUUGUAUAAGAACUGUCUUACUCAACUGAUCAUGAUUCUUGUGGUUUGCGUGCACGAGAGUAUACUGGCUGCCAUCUUUCAUCAACUUCACAUAACUCUGAUAACCAUUCCGUUGCAAAUACGAGAAACUGAUUUGAUAAAUACCAUCAACAGGGGCAGUGGACCGAUGGCGCAGGCGACAGUAGACAAACAACAACAAUGGUUUGGUUUUCUUAUUAUUAAAUUAUACAAACACGAAAUUUGCAUAAAAUAUGUAUAUAUAAUCUGAAGCUAUAAGAUAAAGAAUAUAAAGAAAAUUACGACUAUGUUUACAAAUAUAAAUACAAUACAUUACGUUACAAUUACACUGUUUUUAACUUACAUUUGUCCAAACCAAUGAUAAACUUNNNNNNNNNNNNNNNNNNNNACUUUUCCCGGUUCAAAACAUUAAUUUUUAGCGUUUCUUUAGACUACUUUUAUACGUACUUUUAACGUUCAACAUGGCUUCCUUUUCGCGCGCUUUUUUUCAGUUCAUCGCGGGCGACAAUAAAUAUUCUACGUACGUCAUGUUAUUUUAGUCAACUCAACGUAACAGGCAGUAAACUUUCCAGUGCUGGGAUUGUAACCAUUUGCAAUAUUUAAUGAGACGUCAUUAAACUUGAUGGCAUCAUGAGCGUAGUUUGGUCCGAUGCUACCAGAUGUCAGAGUUGCAAAAAAUGCAGGGAUGCG